UACGUAGGGUGCGAGCGUUAAUCGGAAUUACUGGGCGUAAAGCGUGCGCAGGCGGUUUGUGAUGUCUGAUGUGAAAGCCCCGGGCUCAACCUGGGAACUGCAUUGGAAACUAGCGGGCUGGAGUGUGGCAGAGGGGGGUGGAAUUCCACGUGUAGCAGUGAAAUGCGUAGAGAUGUGGAGGAACACCGAUGGCGAAGGCAGCCCCCUGGGCUAACACUGACGCUCAUGCACGAAAGCGUGGGGAGCAAACAGG
This 253-nucleotide ribosomal RNA is filed under the name uncultured bacterium. RNAcentral describes it as "partial 16S ribosomal RNA". It matches the Rfam family "Bacterial small subunit ribosomal RNA", at positions 524 to 776 of the family's 1533-position model. The record is from RNAcentral.